This 893-nucleotide ribosomal RNA is filed under the name Simplicillium lanosoniveum. Its description in RNAcentral is "LSU rRNA". It matches the Rfam family "Eukaryotic large subunit ribosomal RNA", at positions 38 to 961 of the family's 3401-position model. Lineage: Eukaryota; Fungi; Ascomycota; Sordariomycetes; Hypocreales; Cordycipitaceae. The record is from RNAcentral.
GCAUAUCAUAAGCGGAGGGAAAAGAAACCAACAGGGAUUGCCCCAGUAACGGCGAGUGAAGCGGCAACAGCUCAAAUUUGAAAUCUGGCUCCUAGAGCCCGAGUUGUAAUUUGUAGAGGAUGCUUUUGAUGCGGUGCCUUCCGAGUUCCCUGGAACGGGACGCCAUAGAGGGUGAGAGCCCCGUCUGGUCGGAUGCCAAAUCUCUGUAAAGCUCCUUCGACGAGUCGAGUAGUUUGGGAAUGCUGCUCAAAAUGGGAGGUAUAUGUCUUCUAAAGCUAAAUAUUGGCCAGAGACCGAUAGCGCACAAGUAGAGUGAUCGAAAGAUGAAAAGCACUUUGAAAAGAGGGUUAAAUAGUACGUGAAAUUGUUGAAAGGGAAGCGCCUAUGACCAGACUUGGGCCCGGUGAAUCAUCCAGCGUUCUCGCUGGUGCACUUUGCCGGGCACAGGCCAGCAUCAGUUUGUCUUGGGGGAAAAAGGCUUUGGGAACGUGGCUCCUUCGGGAGUGUUAUAGACCAUUGCAUAAUACCCUGGGACGGACUGAGGUUCGCGCAUCUGCAAGGAUGCUGGCGUAAUGGUCAUCAGCGACCCGUCUUGAAACACGGACCAAGGAGUCGUCUUCGUAUGCGAGUGUUCGGGUGUAAAACCCCUACGCGUAAUGAAAGUGAACGCAGGUGAGAGCUUCGGCGCAUCAUCGACCGAUCCUGAUGUUCUCGGAUGGAUUUGAGUAAGAGCAUACGGGGCCGGACCCGAAAGAAGGUGAACUAUUCCUGUAUAGGGUGAAGCCAGAGGAAACUCUGGUGGAGGCUCGCAGCGGUUCUGACGUGCGAAUCGAUCGUCAAAUAUGGGAAUGGGGGCGAAAGACUAAUCGAACCUUCUAGUAGCUGGUUCGCGG